GCUGGUCUGAAAUUUUGUUUUGUUCAAAUUUUCUUCCUUACCUUUUAACUUACCAACCUUACCUGUUAGAAUAAAAUAUCACUGUUUCUUCAUUUUGCCUUCCCGAUAUUGCAUAUGCAUGUAGCUGACAUUGGUAUAGCCAUCAUUUUGUUAUAGAUUUUCACCUUACUCAAUCGAUACAAUGUUUUCAUCUCUCUAACUUCAUAUUCCCAACCUUCUUCAUCUUUGUCUCGCAACUUCUUUUCCUCAUAAUAUGUUAGAUGUUUUUAUCAUCUUCAUAUGUUCAUGUCAUUUCUUCUUCAUUUACUUCAUCUUAUUUUUUCAUUUUGUUUUUGCUUAUUUCAUUGUAGUUCUUGCAAAAUGGCAAGUCCUUUUGAGACCAUUAAAGACAUUGACGAUCGUAAAUAAUUAUGGAAGGUUCUUCUCAAGGUUCAGCAUAAAUGGAAUGUUGUAUCUAACACAAAGAAACAUUUUGAGAUGAUUUUCAUUAAGGAAGAGGUCAUAACUUGGGCUACAAGAAUCGGAUUGAUGUGUUAUAAUAAGUGUUAGAAAGUUGAGAGGAUAAGUUAAGUGUUUCAUGUUAAAGUCAGAAGCAGAUUCAGAGUGUAGAAGACUCGAAUAAAUCGUUUUAGUUUCAAAAUUUAGAAACUAAUUAGUUUUGGGCCGGUUUUUAUGUUUUUCAACCCGGUUGGGAUUAGAACCCUAAUUCCUUGUUUCCUUUAACCUAAGUCAGCGGUGGUACUGUUCACUAUUCCUAUUCACUAUUCACGAAAAUUAGUUUUGAUUUGUUCGAUUCAUGUAGAACUAAUCCCUAAGGAAAAUUCUACUGAUUUACGGGUUCCACCGCUUUGUGGUUAUUUUAAUUCCAAUUCAAUUUCGAUUUCUAUUCAA
Lathyrus oleraceus (garden pea) is the source of this 891-nucleotide long non-coding RNA. RefSeq lists it as uncharacterized. NCBI's taxonomy places the organism in Eukaryota, Viridiplantae, Streptophyta, Magnoliopsida, Fabales, Fabaceae. The transcript is spliced from 2 exons. The record is from RefSeq and is a predicted model, not a curated record.